CCUACGGGAGGCAGCAGUGGGGAAUUUUGGACAAUGGGCGCAAGCCUGAUCCAGCCAUUCCGCGUGAGUGAAGAAGGCCUUCGGGUUGUAAAGCUCUUUCGGCAGGGAAGAAACGGUAUGGGUUAAUACCCUGUGCUAAUGACGGUACCUGAAGAAGAAGCACCGGCUAACUACGUGCCAGCAGCCGCGGUAAUACGUAGGGUGCGAGCGUUAAUCGGAAUUACUGGGCGUAAAGCGUGCGCAGGCGGUUUUGUAAGACAGAUGUGAAAUCCCCGGGCUUAACCUGGGAACUGCGUUUGUGACUGCAAGACUCGAGUACGGCAGAGGGGGGUGGAAUUCCACGUGUAGCAGUGAAAUGCGUAGAGAUGUGGAGGAACACCGAUGGCGAAGGCAGCCCCCUGGGUCGAUACUGACGCUCAUGCACGAAAGCGUGGGGANCAAACAGGAUUAGAUACCCUGGUAGUCCACGCCCUAGACGAUGCCAACUAGGUGUUGGGGGAAGGAGACUUCCUUAGUACCGUAGCUAACGCGUGAAGUUGGCCGCCUGGGGAUACGGUCGCAAGAUUAAAACUCAAAGGAAUUGACGG
Molecule: ribosomal RNA, 587 nt
Filed under: uncultured bacterium
Lineage: Bacteria
Description: bacterial SSU rRNA
Rfam family: Bacterial small subunit ribosomal RNA
Source: RNAcentral